GGGAAUGUGGCUUAGUGGUAAAAGUGCUUGCCUUGUGUGCAUAAAGCCCUGGGAUCGAUUCCUCAAUACCA
Dipodomys ordii (Ord's kangaroo rat) is the source of this 71-nucleotide non-coding RNA. The record is from Rfam. Lineage: Eukaryota; Metazoa; Chordata; Mammalia; Rodentia; Heteromyidae.